Molecule: ribosomal RNA, 348 nt
Filed under: Triticum aestivum (bread wheat)
Lineage: Eukaryota; Viridiplantae; Streptophyta; Magnoliopsida; Poales; Poaceae
Description: partial small subunit ribosomal RNA
Source: RNAcentral
AGGUGGUUAACAUUCCAGGCUUGUGCUUUUAGAGGGCAUGAUGAAUCUCCGGGAUCCAUUAACGGGGGUAAUUUCCUAGAACUGGUAAAACUUUUGGCUUCUUAUAACAAGUAGGUGAAAGAUGUUGUCUUGGAAAAUGCUCCUGGAAACGCAAAGUACACAUCUCAUCAGGUUCAAGAGGAAAUUCUUGCUAUACUUUCUCGAAAGGUGCAAAGAACAAUUAGAGAAGAAAUUGGUGAUAGCAAAUUUUGUAUAAUGGUUGACGAAGCUCGCGAUGAAUCCAAGACAGAGCAAAUGGCAUUGGUCCUCCGGUUUCCUGACACUGAAGGAUUCAUACAGGAGCGUUUU